This 877-nucleotide ribosomal RNA is filed under the name uncultured Spirochaetota bacterium. Its description in RNAcentral is "bacterial SSU rRNA". It matches the Rfam family "Bacterial small subunit ribosomal RNA", at positions 27 to 896 of the family's 1533-position model. Lineage: Bacteria; Pseudomonadati; Spirochaetota. The record is from RNAcentral.
GAACAAACGCUGGCGGCGUGUCUUAAGCAUGCAAGUUGAGCGGCAAGGAGGAGAGAUCCUCCCUAGAGCGGCGGACUGGUGAGUAACGCGUGGGUAAUCUAUCUUAGGCAUGGGGAUAGUCACUAGAAAUAGUGGGUAAUACCGAAUAAGUUCCAUAAGGGGAGGACUUAUGGAAGAAAGGUGCUACGGCACUGGCCUUAGGUGAGCUCGCGUCCCAUUAGCUAGUUGGUGAGGUAAAGGCCCACCAAGGCGAUGAUGGGUAGCCGGCCUGAGAGGGUGUACGGCCACACUGGGACUGAGAUACGGCCCAGACUCCUACGGGAGGCAGCAGCUAAGAGUAUUCCGCAAUGGACGGAAGUCUGACGGAGCGACGCCGCGUGGAUGAAGAAGGCCGAAAGGUUGUAAAGUUCUUUUGCUAGGGGAGAAUAAGCGUGGGAGGGAAUGCCUGCACGAUGACAAGGACUAGCGAAUAAGUCCCGGCCAACUACGUGCCAGCAGCCGCGGUAACACGUAGGGGGCGAGCGUUGUUCGGAAUUACUGGGCGUAAAGGGCAUGUAGGCGGCUUGGUAAGCCUGGCGUGAAAGUCUGCAGCUUAACUGUAGGGAUGCGUUGGGAACUGCUUAGCUUGAGUUACGGAGAGGGAGCUGGAAUUCCUGGUGUAGGGGUGAAAUCUGUAGAUAUCAGGAAGAACACCGAUGGCGAAGGCAAGCUUCUGGCCGACAACUGACGCUGAGGUGCGAAAGUGUGGGGAUCAAACAGGAUUAGAUACCCUGGUAGUCCACACAGUAAACGAUGAUUACUAGUUGUUUGCGAUACAAUGUAAGCGACUGAGCGAAAGCAUUAAGUAAUCCACCUGGGGAGUACGUUCGCAAGAAUG